This is a long non-coding RNA of Austrofundulus limnaeus, 427 nucleotides long. RefSeq lists it as uncharacterized. The record is from RefSeq and is a predicted model, not a curated record. NCBI's taxonomy places the organism in Eukaryota, Metazoa, Chordata, Actinopteri, Cyprinodontiformes, Rivulidae. The transcript is spliced from 2 exons.
AGGAAGAGUGUGGGGCACAGACCGUAACACACAGAGCUCAGAGCUAAGCUGCCAUCACAGCUCGUUUUUGACAAUCAUCAACUACCAGCUGAUGGAGAGAAGCUGUGGUGAAGAAUCACGCAGGUCACUGGGAGACGCAGCAGCGUGGGUUCAGCUCCUGAGAACCUCAGCAGGACAUCUGCAUCUCAACCCUACCUUCCACUCAUCAAACCAUAUAUUCUGCAGGAAGGAGUCUUGUUUCUGGCCAGGAGGAUCUGUAGCUGAGCUUACAGAUGAUGCUGAAGACAACAGGCAGUUUGUGGCUUGUACUUCUGGUCAGAGCAGGCUGCUGAGUGGACUUCAAGGACUGUUUUAAACAUCUUCAUGGACAAUACAGUGGAUUUAUUCCCUUGAGGCUAUACAUUUUUAAUACUGUCUUGCCAUGUAU